RNAcentral lists this ribosomal RNA (375 nucleotides) under uncultured organism. RNAcentral describes it as "partial 16S ribosomal RNA". It matches the Rfam family "Bacterial small subunit ribosomal RNA", at positions 527 to 896 of the family's 1533-position model. The record is from RNAcentral.
GUAGGUGGCAAGCGUUGUCCGGAAUUAUUGGGCGUAAAGCGCGCGCAGGCGGUUCUUUAAGUCUGAUGUGAAAGCCCACGGCUCAACCGUGGAGGGUCAUUGGAAACUGGGGAACUUGAGUACAGAAGAGGAAAGCGGAAUUCCACGUGUAGCGGUGAAAUGCGUAGAGAUGUGGAGGAACACCAGUGGCGAAGGCGGCUUUCUGGUCUGUAACUGACGCUGAGGCGCGAAAGCGUGGGGAGCAAACAGGGAUUAGAUACCCUGGUAGUCCACGCCGUAAACGAUGAGUGCUAAGUGUUAGGGGGGUUUCCGGCCCCCUUAGUGCUGCAGCUAACGCAUUAAGCACUCCGCCUGGGGAGUACGGCCGCAAGGCUG